CCUGAGCGACGGGGCCGCUUUGCAAGACCGUUGAGGGGCGCGGGGGAAACCUCGCGCCCCUUUUUCCUU
Molecule: small RNA, 69 nt
Filed under: Thioclava dalianensis
Lineage: Bacteria; Pseudomonadati; Pseudomonadota; Alphaproteobacteria; Rhodobacterales; Paracoccaceae
Description: Bradyrhizobiaceae sRNA BjrC68
Rfam family: Bradyrhizobiaceae sRNA BjrC68
Source: Rfam by way of RNAcentral